RNAcentral lists this ribosomal RNA (253 nucleotides) under uncultured bacterium. RNAcentral's name for it is "partial 16S ribosomal RNA". It matches the Rfam family "Bacterial small subunit ribosomal RNA", at positions 524 to 776 of the family's 1533-position model. The record is from RNAcentral.
UACGUAGGGUGCGAGCGUUAAUCGGAAUUACUGGGCGUAAAGAGCUCGUAGGCGGUUCGUCGCGUCGGCUGUGAAAUCCCGAGGCUCAACCUCGGGUCUGCAGUCGAUACGGGCGGACUGGAGUUCGGCAGGGGAGACUGGAAUUCCUGGUGUAGCGGUGAAAUGCGCAGAUAUCAGGAGGAACACCGGUGGCGAAGGCGGGUCUCUGGGCCGAUACUGACGCUGAGGAGCGAAAGCGUGGGGAGCGAACAGG